UUGAGCAGCAUACCACCCUGCAUCCCACUGCUGGCUUGCCUCUGAAGCUAAGGAGGGUUGGUCCUGGAUGGGAGACCAGAUGCUGCUGGAA
Molecule: ribosomal RNA, 91 nt
Filed under: Hucho hucho (huchen)
Lineage: Eukaryota; Metazoa; Chordata; Actinopteri; Salmoniformes; Salmonidae
Source: RNAcentral